CCUACGGGUGGCAGCAGUGAGGAAUAUUGGUCAAUGGACGCAAGUCUGAACCAGCCAUGCCGCGUGCAGGAUGACGGCUCUAUGAGUUGUAAACUGCUUUUGUACGGGGGUAAACCCCGAUACGUGUAUCUGUUUGCACGUAUCGUACGAAUAAGGGUCGGCUAACUCCGUGCCAGCAGCCGCGGUAAUACGGAGGAUCCGAGCGUUAUCCGGAUUUAUUGGGGUUAAAGGGUGCGUAGGCGGUGUGAUAAGUUAGAGGGGAAAUGUCGGGGCUCAACCCCGAAACCGCCUCUAAUACUGUGGGACUAGAGAAUAGUUGCGGUAGGCGGAAUGUAUGGUGUAGCGGUGAAAUGCUUAGAGAUCAUACAGAACACCGAUUGCGAAGGCAGCUUACCAAACUAUAUCUGACGUUGAGGCACGAAAGCGUGGGUAGCAAACAGGAUUAGAUACCCUGGUAGUC
Molecule: ribosomal RNA, 460 nt
Filed under: uncultured bacterium
Lineage: Bacteria
Description: partial 16S ribosomal RNA
Rfam family: Bacterial small subunit ribosomal RNA
Source: RNAcentral